CCGAAAAGUUGGCAACUACAAGGGUUUAAAUAGAUGUUCCUUACUGGACUUAAAGAUUAAAAAGGCCUAGACAAAUGGCCAAAGUCUUAACCGAAAUAAAAAUAAAGAAAACAAUAGACCGGUCGCGGUUUGAGAUGUCCGGAUCAGAACUCAUAGUAUGCUUGCUUGUUGCCUCAUUAAAACCUUUCGGGAAAACCCAGUGGGACAAAACCUCGAUAAGGAAAAAGAGUACAACACAUACUACUCCUUCUGAUGGUCGGCUAUAUCUCUGAACCGGAAGCAAGUUGGUUGGAUGGAUUGAGUAUGAAGGUGGAAAUGGUCAGGCCGGCUUCAUUCUGGCCGAUGGAGGAGAACUGGCUCGAAUGGACAGGGUCUGGAACCUCUAGUGGUUCACCGGUGUCUUCCAGCUUCAAGUCAGACAACUCCUGGAUCAAUAGUUGCUUGAACCCGGUUUGUUCUUGUGCAAGCAACUCCUGGACAGCUUUGGCAAAUCCAGCUCUUAUAACUCUUGAACCGGACCUUGUGGUAGGGCCUUUGCGGAUAAUGGGAACCUCAGUCGUGGGUACUACAACAUCCCCUCCCUCUUGAACAGGUUCUGUCCUCAGAACAUCUCCAUCAUCUGCAAUAUAAGGAGACAAAUCAGAUACAUUGAACGUUCGGGAAACUUGGAACUCACCUGGCAGCUCUAGCCGGUAGGCAUUGUCAUUGAUCCGAUCGAGCACUCGGAAUGGUCCAUCUCCCCGUGGGGAUAAUUUGCUCUUCCUCUCCUCCGGAAACCGUUCUGGCCUCAUGUGGAGCCACACCCAGUCGCCUGGCUGGAAGAUAACUUCUGUGCGCCCCUUGUUGAGCUUAAUCCGGUUCCUUUCAGCCUUCUUCUCCAAAGUCUCCUUGACUUGCCGGUGCAUGUUCUUUACAAACUCAGCCUUUUUGUCACCACUCUGGCUGACUUGCAUGGCUGGGGGCAAUGCGGCUAGGUCCAUGGGCGUCUCUGGUCUAAAGCCAUACACGAUCUCAAAAGGGGAGAGGUUAGUAAUAGAGUGCCUUGCAUGGUUAUAAGCAAACUCAAUGAAAGGCAAACAACUCAGCCAGUUUUUAAGAUUCUUACCCACCGUAGCCCUCAAUAACUGAGAGAGUGUACGGUUUACUACCUCGGUCUGUCCAUCAGUCUGUGGAUGGCAAGUGGUCGAGAAAAGGAGCUUGGUUCCAAGCUUUUUCCACAAUGUCCUCCAGAAGUGGCUGAGAAAUUUGUGUCUCGGUCGGACACGAUGGUACGAGGCACUCCAUGUAAACGCACCACUUCCUUGAAGAAGAGAUCAGCGGUUUGGCUUGCGUCAUUGGUUUUGGAACACGGAAUGAAGUGUGCCAUCUUGGAGAACCUGUCCACUACAACAAAAAUAGAAUCCUUGUGUUCUAUCUUGGGCAAGCCCAGCACAAAGUCCAUAGACAGAUCGACCCACGGUGCAAUAGGAAUAGGUAAAGGCAUGUGUAAACCAUAAGGAUGCGACCUGGAUUUGGUUUUGAGACAGACAGUGCACUUGGAGCAAAGGCUCUCGACGUAGCGCCUCAUCCGGGGCCAAUAGAAGUGGUCGGACAGGACACUCAGAGUUUUGUCCCGACCGAAAUGCCCCAUCAAUCCACCCCCAUGAGCUUCUCUGGUCAGUAAAUCUCGCAUGGAACCAUGAGGGAUACACAGGCGUUUCUCCUUGAAGAGGAACCCGUCCUGCUGAUAGAAUGGACCCAUGGCUCCCUUAGCCGUGUUACUGUAAAGCUCAGAAAAAUCAGGGUCAGUUUCAUAAGACAUUUUGAGUUGCUCAAAACCCAUGAUCUUAGCCUCCAUGGUGGUAAUGAGUGUGUGGCGCCGGGAUAGGGCGUCGGCCACUAUGUUGUCCUUUCCCUUCUUGUACUUGAUCACAUAAGGAAAAGUUUCCACGAACUCCAGCCACCUAGCAUGCCUCUUCUUGAGUGUGGUCUGGCCCCUCAAAUGCUUAAGAGUCUCAUGAUCUGUAUGAAUAAUAAACUCUUUAGACAAAAGAUAAUGUUGCCAAGUUUCAAGCGACCUUACUAGAGCAUAUAGCUCUUUAUCAUAGGUGGGGUAAUUGAGGGCGGCUCCACUCAAUUUCUCACUGAAAAAGGCCACUGGCCGGCCUCCUUGGGUCAGCACGGCUCCUAUUCCUGUCCCUGAAGCAUCACACUCAAUCUCAAAAGGUUUAUCAAAGUUAGGAAGAGUUAGAACCGGUGCAUGUGUCAAGCUAUAUUUAAGCCUGUUGAAAGACUCCUCUUGGGCAGGGCCCCAAGCAAAGGUUACAUUCUUCUUGAUCACGGAGGUCAUUGGGGCGGCAAUGGUACUGAAGUCCUUCACAAAUCGUCGAUAGAAACUGGCCAGUCCAUGGAAGCUGCGGAUAUGUCCGAUCGUGGUUGGAGUCGGCCAGUCUUGUAUCGCCUUGAUCUUCUCUUCAUCAACCUUCAGUCCCUGUGAACUCACAACAAAGCCUAAAAAUACCAAUGAUCAGUGCAGAAUACACAUUUCUUAAGGUUAGCAUAAAGGCCUUCUUGCCUUAAGGCUUUCAAAACCUGUUCUAGGUGUCCCAUGUGUUCAGUUAAAGACCUGCUGUAAAUCAAGAUAUCAUCAAAGUAUACAACCACGAAUUUACCAAUGUAAGGUCGGAGGACCUCAUUCAUGAGUCUCAUGAAGGUGCUAGGGGCGUUGGUAAGGCCAAACGGCAUCACCAGCCACUCGUAUAGACCUUGCUUGGUCUUGAAGGCGGUUUUCCACUCAUCUCCUUCCUUCAUGCGGACUUGAUGGUAUCCACUCCUGAGAUCAAUCUUAGAAAACACAACAGACCCACUCAGUUCAUCCAACAUAUCAUCUAAUCUAGGUAUAGGGUACCGAUAUUUGAUGGUUAUGUUGUUGAUGGCUCGGCAGUCCACACACAUGCGCCAUGUCCCAUCUUUCUUAGGCACUAGUAGGACCGGGACUGCACAGGGGCUAAGGCUCUCGCGGAUGUAGCCUUUGUCCAUGAGAUCUUGGACCUGCCGUUCCAGCUCCUUAGCUUCCUCAGGGUUGACACGGUAAGCGGCUCGGUUUGGUAGUGGCGCGCCGGGUACAAGAUCGAUCUGAUGUUCUAUGCCACGGAUAGGGGGCAAUCCGGCAGGGAUCUCGUCAGGGAAGACAUCCUUGUAACGUCCCAUGAGGUCUUGUACUACGUCCGGUACUUCAGGAGCUUCUAAACCUGCAAAACAACCUUCCUUAAAGAUCAUUAGUAGCACCUGUGUCUCACGUUGUAAUGAUUUAAGCACUUGUCCGGAAGUCAUGUAAAGGUUAGUAUUACUUACCUGGCCGGAAUGCGUCAUUGCCUUCUGCAUAUCAUGAACUUCUUGAGGGCUGAGAGGUGCUAGGCUGUGCUUCUUGUUGUUGUGGACGAAACUGUAGAUGUUGGUGCGGCCAUGGUGAAGUGUCUCCUUGUCAAACUGCCACGGCCUUCCGAGAAGUAUAUGGCCUGCUUGCAUGGGCACAACAUCACACUUGACCUGGUCGUGGUACUUGCCAAUACUGAAGGACACAACAACUUGUUCGGCAAUCUUGAGCUCAGUCUCAUCAUUGAGCCAUUUGAGACGGUAUGGUCGAGGAUGGGCAGUUUUGACCAACCCUAGCUUAUCAACAAGAUACUUGCUAGCCACGUUAGUACAAGAUCCGCCAUCUAUGAUCAAACUACAUACCUUGUGAUCAACACUACAUCUGGUGUGGAAGAUGUUCUCCCGCUGGAUGGUCUCUGGGUCAAAGAGGGUGCUAAGGGCUCUCCGGGUCACUAGCAGCUCGCCUGUCUCCGGGUAGUCGGUUACUUCCUCAUCAGAGAUCGCUGCCGCGGCCUCUGCCUCAUCUUGGGAUUCAUACUCGCCAUCCCCCUUUAGGACCAUCACUCGUUUGUUUGGACAAUCCCGAGCAUAGUGGCCCUUGCCCUGACACUUAUAACAAAUGAUGUCACGAGUACGCAAAUUUUGGGCUUGAGUCUUACCCUGCUCCGGCUUAGAUGCAUUGGAUGAUUCAGCCGGGUUUGUCUUGAAUCGGCUCUCAAUCUCAAUCGUCUUGCCCUUGUCGCCUUGCUUUGAACCCGGUUGAGUCCAAGCAGGUUUGCUGCGGCUGGUACUGGCCGUCUUGCGCUUGAUGUGCUGCUCGGCUUGCGUAGCAAAGUGCAAUAGAUCGUUGAAGUCUUCAUAGUGUUGUCUCUCCACCUUGCGGGCAAUGCGGUCUUGCAGCCCUUCCAGGAAUUGGGACAUCAUUGUCUCCUCGGGCUCGUCGGUCUCAAGCUUAUUCCUAAGAGCCUCGAACUCCUCAAAGUACUCCUCCACAGUCUUAGUUCCCUGCGUAAGUUUACGAAAACGUUUUAGCACAUCACGCUGGUAGUAAGAUGGAAUGUACCUCGCGCGAAGCUUGGUCCGCAUCUCGGUCCAAUUACGCGCUCUCCACACUGGCCCGGACUUGGCAACGUCUCGAUCCCACCACGAAAGAGCAUUGUCCGUCAGCUGGGCUGCUGCUAGGGCAACCUUCUUGGCCUCACUAUAUUGGUAAUAGUCGAAGAUGUACUCCAUGCGCUUCUCCCACACGAUGUAGGCAUCCGGAUCAACCUUGCCGGCAAACGUUGGGGGAUGAAGCUUAAGUGCCUUGCCUCCCAACCAAGGCUCUUCCUCCUCUCGGUCUCGACCUCCCCUAUGGUCGCGGCCUCCUCCUACUUGGGCCCGGGGUCCUCGCGCGUUCCUCCUACCUCCCCGGUUCGGCCUCUCCUCGUCCUGACUGCGCGUAUCAUCGGUACUGUCCGCGUCCGAGUCAGUGUCAUGCGGGUCCGGCUGAUGCCUUCCUGGUGGUCGAGGUCCGUUGGGCCUGCCUCCCUGCCGUAGCUGAGCAAGCUCGGCUGUGAUAGUCCUAAGGCUCGCCCUCAGUUCUUCAUUGUCAGCUAAGAGCUGAGCGUUUAUGGCCGCUUGGUCUUGACCUACAUCUCCCAUAGUUCUCUGAGAAGAAACUCAAAGAAAGAUUAAAAGGCAAGAGGGGGUUAAAUAGUUGCUUGGGUCGGAUACUAUGAGUAUCGACCAAGGCAAAGAAUAAAUGCAAAAGUUAAGACAAAAAAAUCGAAUCAGGUUUGAAAAAGGAAAGACAGAAUUUUUUUUUUUUUUUGAAAACUUGGAGAACAAUCCGAAAAUUUUAAAAAUAAGGAAAGUGAAUAAAUUUUUUUUUUUUUGAAAACUUGGAGAACAAUCCGAAAAUUUUAAAAAUAAGGAAAGUGAAAAAAUAGAAAAAUCGAAAACUUGGAGAACAAUCCAAAAAAAUUAAGGAAAGUAAAUAUUUUUUUUUUUUUGAAUUGUGACGGCUAGGGUUCAGAAAGAACUGAGUUUCGCAGGAAACUUCAGCUCUGAUACCAAAAUGUUGUAGGCACGGGUCGGAGGGUCGGACGGACGGACGGACGCACGGACGGAUGGCCGUUCCGCGGUUCAGCUUUGCCUCGGACGGAUGGUACUGGCCGGCUCGUCUCUUGCUUGCGGUCGAACCUGAAACAGAUAGGAAACUUUAAUGAAUUUUCAACAGGAACAAGAACAGAAACAAGAUAGGAUUCUUUUGGUUUUUAUGGAAUUGGUUGAAUGAAAUCUAAAACAAAAGAUAAAGAAAGGAGUAGAUUGGCGGAUGGGAUCAGCUGCUGGACGUAUGUCUCUCUCAGCUAGAUGCCUAGGUCGGACAGAAAGAUAGGUAUGGAUCCGGCUCUUGCUGGACGUAUGUCUCUCUCAAGAUUCGGACAAGGAAUGGAAUGGAUCGAAGGACGCCACAAAGAACAAUGGAUCGGCUCUUUGAUAUGUCACACGGCUGCUCUCAAUGUUUCACACAACUGAAAGACUUAGGGUUUCCUUUGCUAAAGCAAAUCGAUUUCAUAAAAGACUUAGCCGAAAAGUUGGCAACUACAAGGGUUUAAAUAGAUGUUCCUUACUGGACUUAAAGAUUAAAAAGGCCUAGACAAAUGGCCAAAGUCUUAACCGAAAUAAAAAUAAAGAAAACAAUAGACCGGUCGCGGUUUGAGAUGUCCGGAUCAGAACUCAUAGUAUGCUUGCUUGUUGCCUCAUUAAAACCUUUCGGGAAAACCCAGUGGGACAAAACCUCGAUAAGGAAAAAGAGUACAACACAUACUACUCCUUCUGAUGGUCGGCUAUAUCU
This 6193-nucleotide long non-coding RNA is filed under the name Brassica rapa (field mustard). RNAcentral's name for it is "long non-coding RNA (BRAP_LNC008100)". Lineage: Eukaryota; Viridiplantae; Streptophyta; Magnoliopsida; Brassicales; Brassicaceae. The record is from RNAcentral.